This 284-nucleotide small RNA is filed under the name Choloepus hoffmanni (Hoffmann's two-fingered sloth). Its description in RNAcentral is "7SK RNA (ENSCHOG00000015634.1)". It matches the Rfam family "7SK RNA". From Rfam's summary of the family: 7SK was discovered as an abundant small nuclear RNA in the mid-70s but a possible function has only recently been suggested. Two independent studies have found that 7SK RNA binds the CDK9/cyclin T complex (known as elongation factor P-TEFb). P-TEFb activates transcription by phosphorylating the C-terminal domain of RNA polymerase II. Lineage: Eukaryota; Metazoa; Chordata; Mammalia; Pilosa; Megalonychidae. The record is from RNAcentral.
AGAAGUGAGAGCAAUGUGAUGAGGUUUCAUCACCCCUGGGUCCAGGGUUGACUCAGGUGAUCUGGCUGGCUGAUGGGGUCCCCUUCUUUGUUACAGGCACCAUGUGUAGCCCUCUUGAAGUUACACAUUGCUCAGAGAGGAACACCAGAGAGAGGUAGGCCUUUGUAUAGACAAGGCAACACAAAUCCUGUGCCUCCCCAGAGCUCUCAAACAAGCUCAGAUCCAUCUGAGGUUUGUAUUAAUUAGGGCAUGUAUAUUUACAAAGUUGCUCUUAAUAUUCUUGU